ACGGCCGCGGUACCCUAACCGUGCGAAGGUAGCAUAAUCACUUGUUCUUUAAAUGAGGACUCGUAUCAACGGCAUCACGAGGAUCCUACUGUCUCCCCCCUCUAAUCGGUGAAACUGAUCUCUCCGUGAAGAAGCGGAGAUGUACAUAUAAGACGAGAAGACCCCAUGGAGCUUUAAACCCAACAACACCCGCCCCCCCCUCCAAAUCCUAUUAUUUACCCGGUGAUUGUUUGUUUGGUUUUAGGUUGGGGUGACCGCGGAGUAUAAGAUAUCCUCCAUGAAAAAAAGCUAACUGCCCUUAUUAGAGAAAGACACUUCCAAAAAAUAAUAAAUUAAUUUUAAAUGAUCCGACAUUCGAUCAACGAACCAAGUUACCCUGGGGAUAACAGCGCAAUCCGUCCCGAGAGCCCCUAUCGACAGGCGGGUUUACGACCUCGAUGUUGGAUCAGGGUAUCCUAGUGGUGCAGCAGCUACUAAAGGUUCGUUUGUUCAACGAUUAAAACCCU
Molecule: ribosomal RNA, 506 nt
Filed under: Boophis madagascariensis (Madagascar bright-eyed frog)
Lineage: Eukaryota; Metazoa; Chordata; Amphibia; Anura; Mantellidae
Description: partial 16S ribosomal RNA
Rfam family: Bacterial large subunit ribosomal RNA
Source: RNAcentral